This 466-nucleotide ribosomal RNA is filed under the name uncultured Planctomycetaceae bacterium. RNAcentral describes it as "bacterial SSU rRNA". It matches the Rfam family "Bacterial small subunit ribosomal RNA", at positions 337 to 798 of the family's 1533-position model. The record is from RNAcentral. Lineage: Bacteria; Pseudomonadati; Planctomycetota; Planctomycetia; Planctomycetales; Planctomycetaceae.
GCCUACGGGUGGCUGCAGUCGAGGAUCUUCGGCAAUGGGCGCAAGCCUGACCGAGCGACGCCGCGUGUGGGAUGAAGGCCUUCGGGUUGUAAACCACUGUCGGAGGGGAUGAAAUGCCCUGGGGUUCUCCCCAGGGCUUGACAUAGCCUCAAAGGAAGUACGGGCUAAGUUCGUGCCAGCAGCCGCGGUAAGACGAACCGUACGAACGUUAUUCGGAAUCACUGGGCUUAAAGGGUGCGUAGGCGGCGCGGAAAGUUGGGUGUGAAAGCCCUCGGCUCAACCGAGGAAUUGCGCCCAAUACUACCGUGCUUGAGUGAGAUAGAGGUGAGCGGAACUUAGGGUGGAGCGGUGAAAUGCGUUGAUAUCCUAAGGAACACCGGUGGCGAAAGCGGCUCACUGGAUCUUUUCUGACGCUGAGGCACGAAAGCUAGGGGAGCAAACGGGAUUAGAUACCCCGGUAGUCCAG